AGGAGAGUAAAGGUAGGAGAUGCGAAGCAACAGCCAGAGUCACCAAGAGAGGGGCAGGAGUGGGGGGCGAACGUUGUUCGCUCGCUGAUUGUCGGUGUUGCAUAUUGUUUGAACAUUAAGCAUCAGAUGCAGCUGCUGCAACUCAAAUUAAUGUGAAUAAUACAAUUAUGUUAUUAAGUAAUCGUUAAUCGCUUUGGGACCGUAAAUCUGAAGAAGUGGAUCAACCCCUCGAUGCAAUUGCCAUUGUACAAAAGGUUUGAUGAUGGUGUUGUUUACGAUUUGGAAGAGUCGUCAUUGAACGUUGAAAAGUAUGAGAUUGUAUGAACAUCCACGUUUGCAGACGCUUUCCCUGCGCGUAGAGUGUUCCUUUGGAUAUAUUUAUAAUGGAUAGACUUGAAAACUACAGAUCCACGAGAGCGCCUUUGAUGGGAGGGAAGGAUCAAGCCAAGUGCAGUCUUGCCGGGGAUGUCGUGGAUGCGGGCGAAAGGAAUCAGCUGGGCCCAGGCAUAACCCAGCAGAUAGAGCAUUAUUUGUCCUGACGACUGCAGCGGAGAGGGCGAGGUCAUGGCUGAGAAAGACGGGUAUCAGGCAGGUGUGCCGAGGCAAGAAGAUCAUCAAAGAGGCCACAUUAUAAACAAACAAGUCGCUGUACUUCAGGUAAUAUUAUUUUACUUUUAAUAGACUGCCACCGUAUGUGAUACUCAAAAUGAUAUCGUACGAAAGUGUUGCCUCUAAAUUUUUAAAUAAACGCAUUACAAUCAAAUUACCCACUUAAGUUGUGAUCACGGGGUAAAACACUAAAAAUAUAAGUUUAUUAAAAAUAAUUAAAAAAAUAUUGCUCGAUGUUAAAUCAUAAAAAAAAAUCAAGCGAACCUCUGAGCGUUGAAAACCAACAACAUAAUUAGAGUUC
Cloeon dipterum is the source of this 910-nucleotide long non-coding RNA. RefSeq lists it as uncharacterized. The transcript has 4 exons. The record is from RefSeq and is a predicted model, not a curated record. NCBI's taxonomy places the organism in Eukaryota, Metazoa, Arthropoda, Insecta, Ephemeroptera, Baetidae.